Molecule: long non-coding RNA, 282 nt
Filed under: Elaeis guineensis (African oil palm)
Lineage: Eukaryota; Viridiplantae; Streptophyta; Magnoliopsida; Arecales; Arecaceae
Description: long non-coding RNA (EGUI_LNC010954)
Source: RNAcentral
AGCAGAAUAUCCUUCGACUGGUCGUGACCAAGUCGGUAUGUCACGAGCGUGACUGCGGUCGUCUUGGCGUUUUGCCCUUCUUAGUCGAAGCUAAGUCGGCAAAUUAGCCAGCCGCGUUGGUCGAUGCCCUUUGCCUUCAGAGGCGGGGACCGUCGUAGAUAUUCUACCUCUUCGAUCUUUGUCGUAGAAUCCGAUAGUUGAGUAGUAUCCGACGUAUUUGAAUAGGAUAAUGAUGACAAGUCGAAUAUCCAUUGUCCGGCCCUUGGUCGGAUACAGCAUGUC